GACGAACGCUGGCGGCGUGCUUAACACAUGCAAGUCGAACGGAAAGGCCCUGCUUUUGUGGUGUGCUCGAGUGGCGAACGGGUGAGUAACACGUGAGUAACCUGCCCUUGACUUUGGGAUAACUUCAGGAAACUGGGGCUACUACCGUAUAGGAGCUCCUGCUGCAUGGUGGGGGUUGGAAAGUUUCGGCGGUUGGGGAUGAACUCGCGGCUUAUCAGCUUGUUGGUGGGGUAGUGGCUUACCAAGGCUUUGACGGGUAGCCGGCCUGAGAGGGUGACCGGCCACAUUGGGACUGAGAUACGGCCCAGACUCCUACGGGAGGCAGCAGUGGGGAAUAUUGCACAAUGGGCGGAAGCCUGAUGCAGCAACGCCGCGUGCGGGAUGACGGCCUUCGGGUUGUAAACCGCUUUCGCCUGUGACGAAGCGUGAGUGACGGUAAUGGGUAAAGAAGCACCGGCUAACUACGUG
Molecule: ribosomal RNA, 468 nt
Filed under: uncultured bacterium
Lineage: Bacteria
Description: partial 16S ribosomal RNA
Rfam family: Bacterial small subunit ribosomal RNA
Source: RNAcentral